Molecule: ribosomal RNA, 892 nt
Filed under: uncultured bacterium
Lineage: Bacteria
Description: bacterial SSU rRNA
Rfam family: Bacterial small subunit ribosomal RNA
Source: RNAcentral
GUGCCAGCCGCCGCGGUAAUACGUAGGUGGCAAGCGUUGUCCGGAUUUAUUGGGCGUAAAGCGAGCGCAGGCGGUUUUUUAAGUCUGAUGUGAAAGCCUUCGGCUCAACCGAAGAAGUGCAUCGGAAACUGGGAAACUUGAGUGCAGAAGAGGACAGUGGAACUCCAUGUGUAGCGGUGAAAUGCGUAGAUAUAUGGAAGAACACCAGUGGCGAAGGCGGCUGUCUGGUCUGUAACUGACGCUGAGGCUCGAAAGUAUGGGUAGCAAACAGGAUUAGAUACCCUGGUAGUCCAUACCGUAAACGAUGAAUGCUAAGUGUUGGAGGGUUUCCGCCCUUCAGUGCUGCAGCUAACGCAUUAAGCAUUCCGCCUGGGGAGUACGGCCGCAAGGCUGAAACUCAAAGGAAUUGACGGGGGCCCGCACAAGCGGUGGAGCAUGUGGUUUAAUUCGAAGCUACGCGAAGAGCCUUACCAGGUCUUGACAUACUAUGCAAAUCUAAGAGAUUAGACGUUCCCUUCGGGGACAUGGAUACAGGUGGUGCAUGGUUGUCGUCAGCUCGUGUCGUGAGAUGUUGGGUUAAGUCCCGCAACGAGCGCAACCCUUAUUAUCAGUUGCCAGCAUUAAGUUGGGCACUCUGGUGAGACUGCCGGUGACAAACCGGAGGAAGGUGGGGAUGACGUCAAACCAUCAUGCCCCUUAUGACCUGGGCUACACACGUGCUACAAUGGAUGGUACAACGAGUUGCGAACUCGCGAGAGUAAGCUAAUCUCUUAAAGCCAUUCUCAGUUCGGAUUGUAGGCUGCAACUCGCCUACAUGAAGUCGGAAUCGCUAGUAAUCGCGGAUCAGCAUGCCGCGGUGAAUACGUUCCCGGGCCUUGUACACACCGCCCGU